GUAUAUAGAGUCCUUUCCUAUUUGUUUGCUCGUAAAAUAACGGUGCAUAUGGAAGUGUUUUCUGCCGAGGUGGAUUUUCCAGUUAAGUACUCUUGAUAGAUCGUCGAGUAAGCUCUGUGGAUUCUCUGUUUGCCGCAGUUAGUUUUGCGCAAAGUUUGAAGUCUUUAUGCAUAUAAGGGAUGCAUAGAGUCCAGGAUUUCGAAGUUUCGGUUUUGAAACUUCGAACUUCAGGGGCCUUCCUAUGUUGGUUACGCUACUGAAAAAGUUUAGACUCUGGACCACUUUUAACAACAAAUACAUUUUCGGAACUUCUCAGAUUUGAAACUUUGCCCAUGCAGCGCGUGAAAUUUAAAUGCGAAUAUGUGCACAUGAGGCGCAUUCAGAAAGUAAGUGCAGUUUUUGCAAACAUUAGCACUGCCGGACUGCGUUCACCGUUGUGGUGGAUGUGAGCGAGUUCAUUUGCUCCACUGGCUAGUCACGGACGCCAUCUUGUGACCAUAAAGAGGGUGUUGACGCAUCUUUCUCAGUAUUUAAAAUGUUUGAGUCCGUACAGCGGUCCGCCGCCUCUCGUCGUGUUUGCCAUGUGCGGUCGAAGGGACAGUCCCCGGACAGCUCACUUAGAACAGGCGAACGGAAACGUUUUCUCGAAGAUGAAGAGGAAGAUGAAAGCGAUGAAGACGGUACGAAGCCGUGAUGGGCCCGACCUUCAACUUGUCUUUAUCCCAUAACGCGCGUUAAAUUCACUUUUCUGGGUAUUGCGGAAACUAUACAAAAUGAUCCGCUCUGUGGAAAAGAAGGAACUGAAGCUACACUGCUCUGUGAUGUUGGCGCUGUAGAUAUCUCUCGAGCGAAGGAAAAAGACACCCGUCAGCUCUCGAGUCUGAACACACACACACACACUGAAAUUUAUUUACAGAACACAGUACAAGACAUAUGUACAAAACGUUAAAAGCUGCUGCAGUCACACUGGUUAAACAUAAAACACCAAACACGAACAUUCCCUCAAACAUGUUUGACGAAAAUGCCUGACAAACAUCCCCCAUACAUGUAUGGCUCAACAGCUGUGGUCACACUGCGAAAACGCCGUCAGAACAUGUUCAAAGACACGCGUGUAUAACCAGUGUGACCGUGCCGUGAUACAAAAGUGCGCUUCGGUUGUGUUUGAAAGCUUGUUUUCAAACACUUGAACGUGUAUUUGGACACUGUCGAAAAACAGCUCAUGGGAUUUUGGAGAAAUCAAAUAAAUUUCUUGAUAUUCAUCAAAGAAUAUGUUGCUUUUUACGUGUUUGAGUGUCAACAACAUUGGGCAUCAUUGAAAAUGGCGAGUUAUUUCGGUGUGGAGCUUCGCCGACCUCCUCCGAUCUGUAGACUUUGGUGGGCGACUAGCGUGAAAUACAUUUCGCAGAAGGUGAGUACCUGUUUACUAUCAGUGCUUCAACUCAUCGAGCUAAGUUUUGCGUCGCAAGAACAGCACGACGCCGAUCUCGGCGUCACCGGGUUAUCGUGAAAUCAUGAUCGGCGCAGUUUUGUGCGUCUUGUUUGUUUGUGCUGUUCUCGCGCCGCAAAACUUGUCUGCUAUGUACGAACUGCCCAAAUGUUAGUACAAUGCAAUGGUUGUUUUUCUAGUCAAGUGGAUAACGCUUGUGUUUGGCGUUUGCUUUCGAGGAGUGAAAUGUCGACGCAAAAGGCCCGGAGACGGCAGCGAUCAGUCUAGGCUUCGCCCGACGCCCGUUUCAUAAACAUGGUGUUACUCGCAGCCGGAAUGCCGAAAGCCACAAGAAACUCGAACCCGGACACGAAUUUCACGCCAACUACAGUGGAAUAGGCAACAUAACGUAUUGGCACAAGUGAGGAGCUGAAUGAGUCACCACAAUACACCAAGUAGCUGUUCUUCCAGCGACAACUGCAGCACGGCAGCAAUCAACACUGAAAAGCGAAACAAGCUCCAGUGAAAACACAAAGUGCCGAUCAAGAGCCUCGGUCAGUGUCAGUAAGGAGUGCUCGCAUCAUUGUCUCCUGUGUAUUUCUCCCAUUUCGUGAUAAGCUACCAGUGCUUGUUUGUGUUGCACAUGUUUAAGCCAGUGUAGUCACACAAGUAUAUCCAAUGUUUAUUUAUUACUAUAUUGUACACAGUAUUUAUUAGUACUCAUUCCUAAUAUACACAAUAUUUAUAUUAUAUUAUAUAUAUUUAUCAAAGCGCAUUGUUUUAAAUUACGUAAUGUAAUGGACGAUGCCAGUUCGUUCUUACACUCUCGGACUGUUUAUUGUCUGAACACAAGAUUCAUGCAAAAUAAUUUCAACGUUAAUCUGGCUGUUAUCAAUUCUGAGCUUUGUCAACAUCUUGCUGACUGUCACAGUUGUUGUGCUGACAUUUACUCAGCCUUCGUGUUGAGGAAAGAAAUAAAUUGGGGCAAAACCUUUCUUCUUGAACAAGUGGAAGUUGCAAGUAGGGAUAAUUGUGUUAUGUGUUCUCGUUUCCUUCGCUAUUGAAGUUUCUUGCUUCAAAAUGUAUUGGUAUUGAUUAAAAUAUUUUUGUUUAAGAA
Molecule: long non-coding RNA, 2543 nt
Organism: Ornithodoros turicata
Lineage: Eukaryota; Metazoa; Arthropoda; Arachnida; Ixodida; Argasidae
Exons: 2
Source: RefSeq, a predicted model, not a curated record